GGUGGUUCAGUGGUAGAGCGCUUGCCUUGAAUGCAUGAGGCUCUGGGUUCGAUUCCUCAGCACCA
RNAcentral lists this transfer RNA (65 nucleotides) under Dipodomys ordii (Ord's kangaroo rat). It matches the Rfam family "tRNA". Rfam says of the family: Transfer RNA (tRNA) molecules are approximately 80 nucleotides in length. The record is from Rfam by way of RNAcentral. Lineage: Eukaryota; Metazoa; Chordata; Mammalia; Rodentia; Heteromyidae.